CUUGAGCAUGUCAGUCUCUUCCUAAGUCCCACUGAACCUAAAGGAUUAUUGCAACAAAAUUUGAGAGUUGAACAGCUCUGAGAUAAGUUCCAUAAAUUUUUAUGAAAAUUGGACAUUGAGUAAUGGAGAAGGAUGUGAUUAGCAUUUUCAGUUACAGAAAGGCAUACGGAGCUGGGGAUAUUGAGGUCAGGUAGAAGGAAUAGGGGAAGGUCUAGAAGAAGCCAGGAGGAAAAGAGUUGUCAGACAGGGAGAGGCAGGGAGGUGGAUCCUUACAUCAGCAGGGCAAGAGAAGGACUGUGUGUAUGCUGGAAACAAAUUCACAGGAAAGCAGGCUUCAUGAGUCCACUGGCUUAUGGAUCCUACCAGAACUCUGCAAAACCUAUUUGCUGAAAAGUACGCCAAGAGAAAUCACUCAUGAGAUUUUUAGCCUUGGCUUGCAAUUAGGAGAAUGGCAAUAGUGAAAAACAGCGAAGAAAUGUUUCCACAAAUGAACUUGAAAGUGCAGUAUGAGACCAUUUAUGAUCCUUCAUCCCUGAACUACGACACUUGAACUUGGGUCUGCAAAGGCUGUGGCUUGUCCUUGCUGCCCGAGGUGGCUCAGGCAACAUCUGCCAGUGGAGAAAUGGAAGAUACUACCUGCUUUUUCUCUCUGCCUUUCUCUUGCUGAAGCCCAGUGGCAUUUUAUGAAGAACAGGAGGGUUUCUUCACUCAAGGACAGAGUGGGAGAAAGUGACAAGCUGUGCUUUCAACAGAUGAAGGAAUUAGAAAUGCAUCUGAAGCUGAACUUCCACAGGCAACAGACAUGCUCGGGAUUCUUGGCUCUGACCUCUUUAUGCUUCCUUCAUCCCCAGGAGAAGGUGGAUGGGAAGGGAAGGCUGCCCUCUCUUUUCAGUGGGAACACAAAGUGCUGAAGCAUUCACAGUAACGCUAAAGAGAAGACAAGGAGAAGUCUCCGUUUUCCUUGUUAGAAGUUGGAAUUAAAUUAAUCUUGGACUACAGACUGAAUAGAGAAAAUUCUUGCAAAUAUAAUAGAUGUAAUUCAUGGUCAGAGCAGUGGUUUCUAUUAUCCCAUGUCUGUCUCCAGCAGUGGCAAUAGGAUGUAUAGUUUCAGGGUAACACAAAGCCCUUGGAUUCCACAACCACCGCUUUAAGGACGCAAGAGAGUAUAUCCCUUAGUAAAUAUUUUGGUCCAUUUGAUGGACCUGCUAUAUAAAAAAUUCUCUAAAUCCUGAAAUCUCUGUCUCUACAACCAUCUGUGGCAACAAGUGCCAGAAGUUUAUAACCGUUGUGUAACAAAAUACUUUUAAAAUCUGUUCUAAACUUCUGCUAUUAGUUUCAUCCUAUGCCUUUGCAGUUUUUAGCAUAAGAGUUUUCUGUUGACCUUAUCUACCACAUUCAUAAUUUUAUGGAGUGCUGAGCAAGGGAAAAUAACACAAAAUAAUUUUUUUAAGAAAUGCCCCAGGUUGCUCUUCAGAUAUAGAUCUCAAAUAUAAAUUAAUAGCUUGGGUGAAGAAUUAUGUCAUUUGGGUAAUAAGUGCAACUCAAUGUAAUGAACCUGUGUAUUAAGCUGUACGUUAAACUUUGGAGCUACUUUUUCAUCAAAAUAGAACUAUAGGCAGUGAUAACCUUGUACAGUGCAUCAUCUGCUCUGGUGUUAAAUAACCAAAAACACUGAGAAGCAGAACCUCAAUUGUUUUAAACUGUUGUAACUUCAUUGCUUUUGCUAGACUAAUGACAAUUUCCAAUGCAGGUUUGUUUGGAGGGAAAAAAGUGGAAAAAAGUUUAAGGCACAAAUCCCACCAUGGUCCUGUGAAUCUCAGUGUUUUCUCACAGACUCAGGAGUUUUCUAAUUUCUUUAAAUAUGAUUAGAGUAGAAUACGAUAAUAUUGCUUCACCCUCUUUAAAAUGAACAAUUUUUUAUUGUGUGUGACUGUAUAAAAGCGUUAAGUUCUCUGUAUUUCUCAUAAGAAAUUCCUAUAGAUGCAGAGUAUCUGUGGAUUUUGAUUUGCUUAUAGGCUCCUUAUUUCUUUGGAUGAUCCUAUGCUUUCACUGUUCUCCUCUCUGAUUUAACAACAGGCUUAUGUGUCUCUCCCUAGCAUUUGUCUCUGUUGUGCAGGACAGAUGGGAGUCAAGAGCUGGGGUAGAAAGUCUGAAUGCCAAAUUUAGGGCCUCUGUUUAUAUUUUGACCUGAGAUUUGUUAUUCCAUAUAAUGUACACUGGUAAUUGGCAUGGUGUUUAUUCUUCAUUUUUAAAUUCCAAGAAUCAACCAGUGCAGCCACACAUCUUACACCAUCUUAUUGCAUGAACAGGGGGAAGAGUCCCUUAGUAUUCUAAAUAAGAAAGCUGAUGGAUCUGUAUUAAUUUACAGAAGUUGAGAAUCUCUCUUUGAUGAUCAUAUUAUGGCAAAAAAGUCUUCCUAAAGAUACAAUCCAAUUAACUUUGGUAAAUUGCAGCAGGUAUUUACCUUAAUCUGCUGAAAGCAAGAUUACACUACAGCAAAGCACCUCUACCCUGUAGAACUCUACUUUUCUAGAAAACAGCCCAAGAGUUAUAAAAAUUUGUUCAGGGUAAAAUCAUCAACAUUUUGCUGUCCAAAAUACUCUGGUAAUUCAUGUCUACUUUUGCAGAAAAGACAGUAUUAAAAAAAUGGUAAUGAAAUGUUAGCCUUUAAAAACAGUGAAAUAAUUUGCAUGAAUGUGUAAAAUAAAUAACUUCAAGGAAAGCAGAAGAGUUGCAGGAGAUAUGCACUACAAUGAACAUACAACAACAACCUCCCAAAUUUUAUUACAUGCACAAAUUAAAUGACAAAACACGUUACAAUAGUUGCUACCUGCAUCAUUUGAAGGACAUACUUUCCUAUUGCUAGAAGCUCUAGGAAGUAUUUUAUGGAACACUGUCCCCAUUUAAAACAGUGUAGGGCAGACUGAAAAAUAUCCUGUCCAGGAGGAAAAUGAGGAGAUGGAAUUAUCAGAAGUAAUAUUUGACUGAGAAUUGGGCUCAAUGUUUCAAUUUUAACUAAUAGCUCUGUAAAAUCUGUGGUGGUCUCACUCUUUUAGGGCUAGACAUUUUCAAUUAAAGGGAAGAAAAAUCUUGAAAAUUUCUUUAAUUGCCUUUUGUGAAAAAAACCUGGCAUCAUUCAUGAAUAUAAUUUGCCAAAUGUAGACAGAAAAUUUGGUUUGUGUGUAAAUUGAGAUGUGUGUUCAGUAACCCUACUGCAUUGGUUCUUCCCUUAAGAGGAGCUCAUUAUCUUCUCAGAUUGUGACACUAAUGGUUUAAUGCCUCACAGUUUCUUGGAAGUUUCCUAUGUAUGUGAUGAGCCUAGUUUGUCUCUAUUUGGGAUGCAAAAUCUGAUAGGAUCACAGCACACAGAAGAAUUUACUUCUCUUAAGAAUACAUACUGGUUACCUUCUUCACCUGUCAGGGUGUUGCAAAGGGGCAGUCUGCCAACAUUUGACAUAUUCCAGAUGGAUAUAGAGAACGGCAGUGCGGGUCAGUGGUGCCUUGUUCUGUGGUUAGACCUCAACACAGGAGGAUAGGAAACAAUGGGGAAAGAAGUAGAAUAUUUCAGGCAAAGAGUCCUAGUUUCGGAAAGGGCCACAGGGUUUUUUGUACAUUUACAAGCACUUUCUCACAUUACGAGCUCACAGGUUUCUACUGAAGCCCUUGUCAGUCAAUCUCUCUGUGUACUUCUCCCUGGUGUUCUGUUAAAUCCAAAUAAAACCUAUUUGCCUCUGCUUUCUCUCUUGUUGAUGUACAUAAAGUUAUCGGCUUCUUGCAGGUGUCUGCUUCUUGCAUUUGUAAUGACAGUUUAACAAAAAAAUCAACCAAACCUAAGGCCACAGAAAAGCUUUCACAAGAGAGGUCAAAAGGGUUUCCUCUUCUGCUAAAGGUCUGCUACAUUAUUAGCAGUGCCGUGCCAGAGAUAUUUACCUGUUGGUCACUUUUCAAUUGAUUCAACAUGUGGCUACAUGGAGAUUGGAGUUUCGAGAUUAAAAUCACUUCAAGUUAAAAUCUUGGGAUAAUUCUGGGAAAAAAAAUGACUUCUUGUCCUGCUUUGGCUUCCUUGGGACUUUUCUCUCUGUUUAUAACUUUAGCCGCAAUUAAAAGAAAAUAACAAAUAGAGAAAAACAAUCCUGAACAAUUAGGGUUUUGACAUCUAAAAAGACCAAUGUUGGAUGAGGUCAUACCAUCACAGCCCAUAAAGCUAUCUCUUCCUCCCUUUGUGAUACAUAUGUUCCAGUCCAAGUUCCUCCUUAGUCUUUUUGUGGCUAAAGUGAACUAAACAUUGCAAGCAAAAUACGUGUCUGAUUUAUUGGUUGUCUGGGAUAACUAAUGCUACAAAGGCAAUAAUGCCUAAUUUCUAUUCAAAAGGAAAAACAAACCCCAAAAGCAUAGACCUCCCCAUAAGAGAAUUGAGGCACUGAUUCACAGUUUAUAAAGCCAGAGAGGAGCAGCCUGCUUGUCUAUCCUGAGCUCCAGGAUAACACAUGCCAGACAAUUUCUACCCUGAACUACUUCCGUUUGGAACGAAGGUACAUCUUUAAGAGGAAUGGUCAAUCUUAACUUUCACAUUGCCAAUGAUAGAGAACCUUGCAUAAUCACUAGAUCAAUUCUUUUGAUAAUUAGCUGUCCUGUGGUAAAAACAUAUGUGCCUUAUUUCUGGCCUGAAGUUGCCAUGUUUUCAUUUCCAGCCACUGAAUUCUGAGUUGCCUAUCUUCAAGAGAUUAAAAAAAGAGAAAAAGCUCUAAGUAGAACAUUCAUCUUUUCAACCUUUUCAAAUCUUCUUGAGUCUUUUGCUCUGGUGUAAGCUUUCCAGCCUCUUAAUUAACCUCUUGAUUCCUCAGUGAGAGUUUUCCUACAAGUCACUCUCCAGCUUGCACUAUAGACGCCAGAAAAUAGAGGAGUUAUGGCCACAUCAUCAUCAAAUAACAUGCUGGUAUUUGCUUUUCUUUUGUCUGUUCAACCAACAAAAUCAUUCUGGAGGUCCUCAGGGAAUUUGUAUUUGACUGCAUGUUCAUUGUGCUCCCCGAAACCCUCCAAAGCCAUUGACUAUAUGCAGUAUACAAUUGAGUUAUAUAUUCUGUAAGUACGGCUUGCGUUCUUUUUUCCAAACAAAUGCCUUUGCUUCCUAAUGUGUUGCUUGCAUCUGUUUUACCAGGCAAUCUGGUUUGCAUCACUGUUUUAUCUUUUUCCUUUUUUUUUUUUUCCACUUCAUAUUCUUUCUGUCAUAACCAGUCUUGCCUUUGUCAGUGGUAACUGCAUAUUGUUAUCCUGAUCAUUGAUGAUAAUAUUAGUUUAAUUCUGAAAACUGACCCAUGCAGAGCCCCACAGAAACCACACUUACUUAGUACAGCUUCCAGAUUUAUAGUAUUAUUUUCCCAUUUAUCAAAUGAUUUUUAAAACAUUUAACUUACACCACAUUAAUUUUUAUUUACUAGUUUCUGGGUGAAAAUACAUAGUGACACAAGUUAAAAGUCCAAACUGAAGGCUAUUAUAUGGACAUACACUAUAUGCACUACAUUUAGAACUUGAGCUCCCAAACAUCUCAAGCUACUCGGGCAAGAUCAGUUUUACAUAAAUCCACUUUGAAGAUACUAAUUGUUGACUGCAGAAGCUCUGCUUCAACCUCGACCAUUUUGCCUGCCAGCUUCAGACAGGCAUCUGAUUAUUUCAGUCAUCCAACUUUCCCUUUAUAAGCAGUGUUGUCGGAAAGCUUUUACACAGAUACGUACAUAUUCUAUGUUUUAAUGACUGCCAGAGUUUGCAGCCCUGUACUUGAAAUCCAAAAUUCUUCCUUUCAUCUUUGAGGCUCUUUACUGUGGUCACUUGGCCAAGGAGAGCUUUUUGCAUUAUUUCCAUCUUUUGUGCAGAGCAUAAAGCUUCAGCAAUCCAGAACAUCUGCACUGGUGUUUAACUAACAGCAUUUUCAGGGAGUACGGUGACCAGAUAUAAAACCAUUCCUCUGCUUGUAUCUCUGAAGUGCAUUUCGUGUCCAUGAAUAAAUGGGGAGCUAAAAUUGCAAAAGCAGAGGCUAGAAAAUAAUGGAAUGAGUAGAAAUAUGAGAAGACAGCAUCCCACACAGUGUUCAAGUGCAUUUUUAGCAGGUCUCCUUUUUUCAUGUACAAAGGCAAGGGAGAUAGAUAAUACUGAUGACUUUGUAAAUGAAUGACCUCUAUUUUGAUUAAGUGGUAUAACUUGUGUUUGUUCUACCAUUGGUAUGGGAUCACUAAACAUUGUCUGAGCUACAGGCACUGCUUUUGUGCCAUGUCUCUUACCUCCAACAAACAAGUUUUGUCCUUAGGAUAAAAAAAAGAAAGAAUAUCCAUUGCAGCCAAGAGUUUUAACAGAACUGGCGAGGGAGUUCUCUGAGAACUGACACAGCUUUUAAAUAGAUUUUGGAUUCUUAAGGAUGUUCUGCAAACUGGAGGGGAAAAAAAUAAAGAAGAAAAAAAAGGCCAAUCUCAUGCCAAUAAUUAUAUAUGACCAAGAAGAAACUUCAGGAAACUGUAAUCCCCUAGAAACUUGGCUUAGAAGGCCAGGUCUUGGGCAGGUGGAGAGGAAAGAUUGUAAGAGACACAUGUAGAGAGAGAUAAGAAGAUGUACAUUUCCCAGUGCUAUAGCUAACAUCUCCCUGUAGUAUUUCCUCCUCUCUUCUUUUUGACUGAAAUGUGUAAAAUAUCCUUAGCUAAUCAUUUCUGGAAGAAGUGGGAGACUCAGAGUUCAACAUAUGGAUAAACCCUUUGGUUCUAACAGUCUACUUUUCAUGUGCGUGUUUGAAGCUGCCAGACACAUGCUUCCUUCAUAUCGAAAGGAUUUUUUUCUGAACGCCAGUCUUCCUUUUCUUCCCUUGAGACUAGCUGUGGAGGGAAUACUUCGUUACAGAGUGUUGAGGCUUUUGUUGUCUCACGCUUUUUUAUUUACUCCAAUCUGCUGCGUAAAACAAUGUCUCUUAUUCAACUAGCCCUGGAUAAUAUUUACCAGAUAUCAAAUAUCAUAGUUAAUUUGAUGCGGGACUUUAAUCUUAAACCAAUAACUUUGACCUUGUUUUGGUGGAACUGUAACAGGCAUUAGUCAUGGUGCAGGAGUGGAUAUUUUUGGAAGCCACAAGAAAAACGUCAGUUUUCAAGUUACAAAAUGCAUGGCUUAUCUGAAAUGGUUUUUGUAUGCGUUUGUUCUAAAAAGAUUCUAUUUUUGUGCUUCAUAACCGAAGAACAUCUGAACUUUGACACUUGAAACUUCCCAGGUGUUUACUUCAUGCUGUUCUCACAUUGCAAAUAAACAAGUUAAAUUAUGGAAGCAUAAUCCAUUCAACACACUGCUGUGCACGUUUAAGAAGAAAAAAGAAGACUCUAGAUUCAAAGGGCUAGCGUGCACCUCCAUGUUACUGAUGACAAUUCGUUCCAAUGUUCAGACCUUGCUCAUGGGUAACAAAAAAGUCAUGAAUAUACAUCGUGAAAUCAGCAGCAUUCAGGAUUAUUAUUUUUUUUUUUCUGUUGCUACCAUUUGGUUGAUGUAGGCCCCACUACUGUUCUAAGCAGACUGUGACACUUCUUGGCACAGAAUUUCAGAUUGGUUAAUGGAAAGCUGGUAGCUAAUAGGUCUCACAGAUCUAAUUAUGAAUCAUAUUGCUGGUUUUGUUUUGUUCUGAAAUUUCUCUCUAGAGUGACUAAAUAGUGGAGAAAAUCAUUAAUGGCUCAAAUAAAAAAAAGGAUUUUGAUUACCUUAGUGUUUGCAUGACAACUUUCGAUAAAUAUUUCAACAGUCAGCAUAAUUAUUUGAAUACAGUGAUCUGCCUGUUUCAGGUUUUUUUUUCAUCCAUAAUAGCAGCAAAUAUACAAGCAUAGUAGGC
Molecule: long non-coding RNA, 7849 nt
Filed under: Gallus gallus (chicken)
Lineage: Eukaryota; Metazoa; Chordata; Aves; Galliformes; Phasianidae
Source: RNAcentral